GGGCGACGCCGGAGUUGCAGUUGGAGGCUGCGGGAAUACAAAGGGGUGUCUACCUUUCAAGAGGAACAAGAAAAGAGAGGUGGGAAUAUGGAACCAAGCCAAAGAUUCUGCAGGAUCCUGCACAGUGAGCAUUGUUCUGGUUCAGGCCACUGUGCUCAACUGAACAGUAUCAGUAGCACAACAUUUGGAUGCCCUUGAAUACUGUUCCUGUUUCAAUUCAUUUGUUUGUCUGAGAAUUGGGAAUGCAUGUCUGGGCAGUGACAAGAGGCCAAAGAAAGCAGAAGAUGUGUGAAGAGGAGAAUCGAUUUUCCAUAAUGAGAUGUCAGAAACACUGCUUGCUAAGUCAGCCUGAAACCAAAGAAGAAGAAUGGCAUUCAGUGAUAAGAACUGUUCAUGAGCCUGAAUUCCAUGGCUGCUCCUGCACAAACCACCGGACACAGAUCCGGGGAAAGGCAACAAAGUUGCCUCUACUUUGUGAGUGGCUAGAAGUUACUGGACAUCUGGGAGCCCUGGUGCCUUGACUGUAAAAUGGAGACAACAACUCCUCUCAUGGUUGUUAUGACAAGGAAAUGAGAGAUACAUAUCAAGUGCCUAACAUAGAGCUGGCUCCUAUGAACCAGAACUUAUUAAGCAAUUGUAGAAGGCAAGAUUUAAAGCACAGACUUUGGAGCAGUCCUUGGGUUCCAAUCCUGGCUGCAUCGUUUAUCAUCUCUGAGCCUCAGUUUCCACAUCUGUAACAAAAGCUUUCAUUUUACAGAUGUAAAAGCAGUGUGUACCUCCAAGGGGUGGUUGUGAGGAUUAAUCAAGUUAAUACACAUGGCAUUCUCAGAUCAGUGCCUUGCACGGCAAUUUACUCAAUAAAUGUUAG
Molecule: long non-coding RNA, 868 nt
Filed under: Homo sapiens (human)
Lineage: Eukaryota; Metazoa; Chordata; Mammalia; Primates; Hominidae
Description: LHRI_LNC1526.2
Source: RNAcentral